RNAcentral lists this ribosomal RNA (274 nucleotides) under uncultured bacterium. RNAcentral's name for it is "partial 16S ribosomal RNA". It matches the Rfam family "Bacterial small subunit ribosomal RNA", at positions 523 to 796 of the family's 1533-position model. The record is from RNAcentral.
AUACGAAGGGUGCAAGCGUUGUUCGGAUUUAUUGGGCGUAAAGCGCGCGCAGGCGGAUAAGUAAGUCAGAUGUGAAAUCUCGGGGCUCAACCCCGAAACUGCGUCUGAAACUACUUGUCUAGAGUACUGGAGAGGGAAGGGGAAUUUCGCAUGUAGGGGUAAAAUCCGUAGAGAUGCGAAGGAACACCAGAGGCGAAGGCGCCUUCCUGGACAGUCACUGACGCUGAGGCGCGAAAGCGUGGGGAGCAAACAGGAUUAGAAACCCUAGUAGUCC